CGGAGAACGGGGAGGAGAGGAGAGGAGACUUAGAUCAGCAUCAGCAUUCCAGGGGAAGUAUGCUGAAGAGGGAGUUGAUGGACCCACGGACCACUCAGCUCAAAGUGAAUAUCACUAAAGAGAAUCUUAGCGGUGCCCGAGAAAAUAUAGAAAAGAAGGUUUUAUUCAGAUCUGUUGCAAAAAGUACAGGGACCCAGAGCAAGAUUCUACUGGUGGGGAAGAGAGCAGGGCCUCAACACUGCAUGCAGUCAGCAAACUGAAGCUGAUAGCCCAGCCGCAGGUCAGUGUUGGUGAAUGGAAAAUUACUGAGGAGACAGCUUCUGGCUCAACCCAUCUGACAGGAUUCUUGAGGAAGGGUACUCAGACCUGACCCCUGGGGGAUGGUGGAGAUGGAGACUGAUCAGAUAGGAGGGUGGACAGAGACUGGGGACAAGGAAUUCUAACUAAACUGACUUCACAGAGGUCUUUGCCAAACUGGAUUCUCAAGGAAGUUCUCAGAUGGACCUGACAGGCAAUCGGAAGCCUGGCCAGUUUGCCCAAGCAAAGAGUCUUUGUCUACCUUUUGGGGUGGGGGGUGGAGGGGAUGGGGGUGGCUGGAGGUUAACUACAAGACAGGAGUAGAGAAUCCACAGGGCCUGCUGCGCUUGGGAGAUCUGAAAAGGCUGCGGGAGCACUGUAGAAGGUGCUGAGCAGGAAGCCCUGGGGAUAGAUACAGUGGGAGAUCCUGCAGUCGAUAGCGCAGAGAAUACCAGAAAGUUCCUAGUUAGGCUGAGCAGAAACGCAGAGGGGAGUGGGGCAGGCAACAGACAGCGUCAGGGUGGGAAAGGAGGGAGAGACUGAGAUAGAGCGAUUGGUGACCAAAGGCAUUGGAUGACAGGUUUAGAGAUGGAGAGCUAGAAAAUGCGCAUGUCUCAGGGAGCUUGAGAUCCAGUUUCUGGAGUUCACAGUUUAUUUCUAUCUGUAUUAUGUCUCUUCUGGCCUGGAAAAGAAGAAGAGGAACAAAGCCUUGGGGGCGUGGGGAGGGGGACAACGGGACAGCAUGGUACAUUGCCUGCAGGGCCCUGCCUCGGUUAAUUGUUCCCUGAAACUGUGGCGCCCUCUCCUGGUAUAUGGUAUUUACAUACAUGGGCAUCCUGCCCCAGCGUUCAUUUUCUCAGCCAUCACCCAAAGGCAAACGUAGCUGAACGGUUGGAAGCACUUUGUGAGCGCUGGGAGUCCCCUGCAAAGCAAAUGUCAGGACUGGAGCCCACACCAACGGUCUCCCUCUCUUGAACCCGGAAACCAGCCGGAACGUUCUCCUGUGUUGCUGCAGCGUGCAGGGGUGAGAGAGGAUGCGGAUCGGAAACGGAGGCUUGAGGGUAUCCGGCAUCUAGAGGGGAGCGUGGACAUGCCAAGCCCCGCAAACUCUUUGUGAACAGGAAACCCCUAGAAGCGCCCUAACAGCCAGAUUCUGCCCUGCUUUUCUGACACACUCCCUGAUGCCACCAUGGGUGCCAGCUUCUAACUGCUUGGAGAAGCAGGGAAGGCGCACAGAACAGGAACUGCAAUUUGGGAGAGGAACAGGUCCAUUCCAGCUUACAGUUUAUAGUUUAUCACAGAGGGAAGUCCAGGCAGGAAUUCGAGGCAGGAGGAACCUGGAGGCAGGAGCUGAAGCAGAGAUCACUGGGGUUUCCUUCUCCUUCUUCUUCUUCUUCUUCUUCUUCUUCUUCUUCUUCUUCUUCUUCUUCUUCUUCUUCUUUUAGUUUUUUAUUUUUUAUAUAUUUGAAUUACAAACAAGAUUGAAUUACAUGAUGAUCCCAGUUCCCUUCUCCCUCCCUUCCUCCUCUACCACCCCCCAACUAAAAUCCUACCUGUCAUAUGUCCUUUCUUCUAAUCUACACCUGACUCAAAAUUUCUGCUUCCUCAUGACCUCUGCAUCCUUCCUUUUCUUCCCUUCUCACUUUUGUAGCUCCCUCCCCCCUCUUCCCAUGCUCUCAAUUUGCUCAGGGGAUGGUGACCCUUUCCCCUUCUCCAGGGGACCAUGUAUGUCUCUCUUAGGGUCCUCCUUGUUUACUAGUUUCUCUGGCAGUGUGGAUUGUAGGCUGGUAAUCCCUUACUCCAUGUCUAAAAUCCACAUAUGAGUGAGUACAUAUCAUGUUUGUCUUUUUGUGAUUGGGUUACCUCGCUCAGAAUGGUUUCUUCUAGUUCCAUCCAUUUUCCUGCAAAUUUGGAGAUUCC
Molecule: long non-coding RNA, 2217 nt
Filed under: Cricetulus griseus (Chinese hamster)
Lineage: Eukaryota; Metazoa; Chordata; Mammalia; Rodentia; Cricetidae
Description: lncRNA (ENSCGRG00015042434.1)
Source: RNAcentral